GACGAACGCUGGCGGCGUGCUUAACACAUGCAAGUCGAACGGAAAGGCCCUGCUUUUGUGGGGUGCUCGAGUGGCGAACGGGUGAGUAACACGUGAGUAACCUGCCCUUGACUUUGGGAUAACUUCAGGAAACUGGGGCUAAUACCGGAUAGGAGCUCCUGCUGCAUGGUGGGGGUUGGAAAGUUUCGGCGGUUGGGGAUGGACUCGCGGCUUAUCAGCUUGUUGGUGGGGUAGGGGCUUACCAAGGCUUUGACGGGUAGCCGGCCUGAGAGGGUGACCGGACACAUUGGGACUGAGAUACGGCACAGACUCCUACGGGAGGCAGCAGUGGGGAAUAUUGCACAAUGGGCGGAAGCAUGAUGUAGCAACGCCGCGUGCGGGAUGACGGCCUUCGGGUUGUAAACCGCUUUCGCCUGUGACGAAGCGUGAGUGACGGUAAUGGGUAAAGAAGCACCGGCUAACUACGUG
Molecule: ribosomal RNA, 468 nt
Filed under: uncultured bacterium
Lineage: Bacteria
Description: partial 16S ribosomal RNA
Rfam family: Bacterial small subunit ribosomal RNA
Source: RNAcentral